This 253-nucleotide ribosomal RNA is filed under the name uncultured bacterium. RNAcentral describes it as "partial 16S ribosomal RNA". It matches the Rfam family "Bacterial small subunit ribosomal RNA", at positions 524 to 776 of the family's 1533-position model. The record is from RNAcentral.
UACAGAGGUCUCAAGCGUUGUUCGGAUUCAUUGGGCGUAAAGGGUGCGUAGGUGGCGCCGUAAGUCGGGUGUGAAAUUUCGGAGCUCAACUCCGAAACUGCAUUCGAUACUGCGGUGCUUGAGGACUGGAGAGGAGACUGGAAUUCAUGGUGUAGCAGUGAAAUGCGUAGAGAUCAUGAGGAAGACCAGUGGCGAAGGCGGGUCUCUGGACAGUUCCUGACACUGAGGCACGAAGGCCAGGGUAGCAAACGGG